RNAcentral lists this long non-coding RNA (1160 nucleotides) under Nicotiana benthamiana. RNAcentral describes it as "long non-coding RNA (NBEN_LNC041899)". Lineage: Eukaryota; Viridiplantae; Streptophyta; Magnoliopsida; Solanales; Solanaceae. The record is from RNAcentral.
UUUUGAUUGAGUUUGUUAUGGCCAACCUUUUUUUAACGGUUUUGAAAUUGCAUUCAUUCAAUCCAGGAACAAUAUUGUUAUUCUUCACAGUCACAACUAGAAUGAAUGAGCCACGAUACACUAUUAUUUUUUGACGAUGCGGGUUCAGUUGAACCCACUUAUCACCACUUGGAUCCGCCCCUGGGCUCGAUAGAGAAGGUAUGCAAGUGGUUUCGAACUCUAGAUCUUCCAUUUGGUAAGUCUCUUACUCAACCAACUCGGCCACCCGAAAGGAUUAUUGGCAUUGAGUCCCGUGCGAUGGGCUCGAUAGAGAAGGUAUACAAGUGAUUUCGAAUUCUAGAUCUCCUAUUUGAAAAGCCUCUUGCUCAACCAACUCGGCCACCCCGGAGGAUUUAUUGGCAUUGAGUUAGGACAGAUCACUUGUCAUGUUAGAAUUUUGCCACUCUAUCAAUUUCAUGUAAAAAAAAAAAAAAUUACCCCGUAAGAAGCAUAGCAUUUAAGCCCUCAUACCAUAUCUUCCUUUGCAUAACAUUUACCAAAGCACUACGUACAUAACCUAAAGUUUGAAAAAUGUUGGCUUGUACACUUAUUUCAAUAUGGGAAUCGUCAUCCAAUUAUUCACUGUUCCAGUAAGUUUGAAGCAAAUACUGGGUAGUACGUGAAUCCCAACUCCUAAUAUUCCUAGCAAAUUUAAUUUGGACUAUGAACGAAAAAAGGAAUUGGUGCUUUCAGUUUCACCACUUUAAACUUAAAAAGGGUUUAUGUGGUAGCGACUAAGGUGGAAUUACGUUAUAGUUGAUGGUAGAAGAAAGUGAAAGAACCAAACUUAAGACUCUGAAAAAACGAACAUUACACUACAUAUGCUUCAACUACUAUUCAUCUUCUCAAUCGUAUCUUAUCAUGUUCCUUGGCUCGCUCAAUACGUACUUCGGUAGUUCAUAUUUAGUACCUGCAACAAAGUUUUCUAUUAGCAAUCAAAUAACUAGAAAAAUAAAAAAAGUAGUUUGUUAUCUUUGGGAUUAGUCUAAAUAGUCCUUAAAAUAUACAUAUGAGCAUAAUUUACUGCUUUGUAAAAUCGAACAAUUUUGGUCUUUGUUAUGUUUAAAACACAUGAGAAUAAUUAUAUUUGAUCGAACUGGCCCGUGAGAAGCAUGUGAACC